Long non-coding RNA from Xiphophorus hellerii (green swordtail), 863 nucleotides. RefSeq lists it as uncharacterized. The transcript is spliced from 3 exons. The record is from RefSeq and is a predicted model, not a curated record. Lineage: Eukaryota; Metazoa; Chordata; Actinopteri; Cyprinodontiformes; Poeciliidae.
AAAAGCAAGGCUAAUGUAACCCAAGUGAAAUGUUGAGUUCCAUUUUUUUGGUUCGCUACUAUUGCCCUCCAAAAUCUCGCGGUAGUUGAUUAUAUAACUGCAAUUCUCGCGAGAUUUACUAAACAGCCAAUCAUUGUUGAGCGUCUGAGUCACAUGUACCACCGUCAGCUCAUUUGUUGGGUAUAUUAGCUGGAGCAAAAAGCAUGGAGGAUUAGAACAAGUUUGGGAGAGCAGAGCUGCAGGAGUCUCCGGUCGUAAGCUGAGGGAUAAGAGAAACACAAAACCGCUUGUAUGCCUUAUGAACUGCGGAAUUGGCCAGGUUCGAUGGCGAGCUGAAGAAUCAGGUCCAAGAGCCUAAAGGAUUUCACCUGUGGUGUUAAGAUUUGGUUUCCCCACCAGGCUGGUGGGAGGCUUCCUGCAGCCCAUGAACAAAAUUGUUUCCACUCUGAUCUGACUUUUGUCAGCAUAUGAACUGUAACAGGCGCUCUAAACUCACCUGACCCUGUUGAACCGCCUCAGUUCAGUUUUCAGGAGUUUUAUGAACUGAAUGGUGUGGCUUGUUACUGGAACUGUGGAACUGAUUUGUUUUUUUUUUGUUAAUUUAAUUUGUUUUCUUUGUGUACUAUUUCCUUUUAUUUUAAUAUGGCCAUUUAAAUGUUUUUUUUUUCCUUUCUUAUUGUAAUGUAAAUAAUUAAUCACUGUGAAUACAAGGCACUCACAUCUGCAACUUCUAGUCUGUCUACUCCUUCCUGAGCCGUACCUAGACUUCUAAGAACUAGCCCAUUGACUUUGUUGGUCAUGAUCUAUUUUUAAUUAUCUAGAAAUAUAGUAUACUGGUUACACAGAUAUGCUACACUAAUAAU